AUUGAACGCUGGCGGCAUGCCUUACACAUGCAAGUCGAACGGCAGCAUGGGUGCUUGCACCUGAUGGCGAGUGGCGAACGGGUGAGUAAUGCAUCGGAACGUACCCGGAAGUGGGGGAUAACGUAGCGAAAGUUACGCUAAUACCGCAUAUUCUGUGAGCAGGAAAGCGGGGGAUCGCAAGACCUCGCGCUUCCGGAGCGGCCGAUGUCGGAUUAGCUAGUUGGCGGGUAAAGGCCCACCAAGGCAACGAUCCGUAGCGGGUCUGAGAGGAUGACCAGCCACACUGGGACUGAGACACGGCCCAGACUCCUACGGAGGCAGCAGUGGGGAAUAUUGGACAAUGGGCGCAAGCCUGAUCCAGCAAUGCCGCGUGUGUGAAGAAGGCCUGCGGGUUGUAAAGCACUUUCAGUGGGGAAGAACGGGCCAAGGUUAAUAACCCCUGGCUUCUGACGUUACCCACAGAAGAAGCACCGGCUAACUCCGUGCCC
This 488-nucleotide ribosomal RNA is filed under the name uncultured bacterium. Its description in RNAcentral is "bacterial SSU rRNA". It matches the Rfam family "Bacterial small subunit ribosomal RNA", at positions 29 to 510 of the family's 1533-position model. The record is from RNAcentral.